This 270-nucleotide long non-coding RNA is filed under the name Manihot esculenta (cassava). RNAcentral describes it as "long non-coding RNA (MESC_LNC013105)". The record is from RNAcentral. Lineage: Eukaryota; Viridiplantae; Streptophyta; Magnoliopsida; Malpighiales; Euphorbiaceae.
GGUGCCGCCGAACCUGCCUGACUUUCGGCUCUGAAGGGACUUUCGGCCGCCGAACCUGCCGCCGAAAGUGCCCUGUCCAGCCCUUUCUUGCAUGUUUUUCUAUGAUUAUUCCAUGAUGUUUUAAGGGGUUUUUGGGGAAUAGUUUAGAGUUAUGUUCAUGUAUGUUUGGUCCCUCAUUUGAGUCCACCUGUGUAGGUUCGGACCCGAGGAACCGAGGACCCCAGCAGUGAGUCUGUUGCCCCAGUGUCUGGUCAGAGCUACCCAGAGGUG